UACACAGACCUCAUCUUGUAACGGAAGC
Molecule: non-coding RNA, 28 nt
Filed under: Homo sapiens (human)
Lineage: Eukaryota; Metazoa; Chordata; Mammalia; Primates; Hominidae
Source: RNAcentral